GACGAACGCUGGCGGCGUGCCUAAUACAUGCAAGUAGAACGCUGACUACUUUAGCUUGCUAGAGUAGAAGGAGUUGCGAACGGGUGAGUAACGCGUGAGGAACCUGCCUCUCAGUGGGGGACAACAGUUGGAAACGACUGCUAAUACCGCAUAAUGUCAUUGGACGGCAUCGUUUAAUGACCAAAGAUUUAUUGCUGAGAGAUGGCCUCGCGUCUGAUUAGCUAGUUAGUGGGGUAACGGCCCACCAAGGCGACGAUCAGUAGCCGGACUGAGAGGUUGACCGGCCACAUUGGGACUGAGAUACGGCCCAG
This 311-nucleotide ribosomal RNA is filed under the name uncultured bacterium. RNAcentral describes it as "bacterial SSU rRNA". It matches the Rfam family "Bacterial small subunit ribosomal RNA", at positions 28 to 334 of the family's 1533-position model. The record is from RNAcentral.